AACGUAGGUGGCAAGCGUUAUCCGGAAUUACUGGGCGUAAAGGGUGUGCAGGCGGGGAAGCAAGUGGUGUGUGAAAUCUCCCAGCUUAACUGGGAUAGGUUAUGCCAGACUGCUUUUCUAGAGGACGAGAGAGGGGGGUGGAAUUCCGGGUGUAGUGGUGAAAUGCGUAGAGAUCCGGAGGAACCCCAGAGGCGAAGGCGGCCCCCUGGCUCGUACCUGACGCUCAGCCACGAAAGCAUGGGGAGCGAACGGG
Molecule: ribosomal RNA, 253 nt
Filed under: uncultured bacterium
Lineage: Bacteria
Description: partial 16S ribosomal RNA
Rfam family: Bacterial small subunit ribosomal RNA
Source: RNAcentral